GGAUAACGCCUGGAAACAGGUGCUAAUACCGCAUAACAGAAGGGGACGCAUGUUUCUUUCUUGAAAACUCCGGUGGUACGGGAUGGACCCGCGUCUGAUUAGCUGGUUGGCGGGGUAACGGCCCACCAAGGCGACGAUCAGUAGCCGGCCUGAGAGGGCGGACGGCCACAUUGGGACUGAGACACGGCCCAAACUCCUACGGGAGGCAGCAGUGGGGAAUAUUGCACAAUGGGGGAAACCCUGAUGCAGCGACGCCGCGUGAGUGAAGAAGCGUUUCGGCGCGUAAAGCUCUGUCAGCGGGGAAGAAACACGGUUCGCGAGAGCCGCGGACGGUACCCGACCAAGAAGCCCCGGCUAACUACGUGCCAGCAGCCGCGGUAAUACGUAGGGGGCAAGCGUUAUCCGGAUUCACUGGGUGUAAAGGGAGCGUAGACGGCGAGACAAGUCUGGAGUGAAAGGCCGGGGCCCAACCCCGGGACUGCUCUGGAAACUGCCUGGCUGGAGUACAGGAGAGGUAAGUGGAAUUCCUAGUGUAGCGGUGAAAUGCGUAGAUAUUAGGAGGAACACCAGUGGCGAAGGCGGCUUACUGGACUGUAACUGACGUUGAGGCUCGAAAGCGUGGGGAGCAAACAGGAUUAGAUACCCUGGUAGUCCACGCCGUAAACGAUGAUCACUAGGUGUCGGGGGUUAGAAGGCCCCCGGU
This 703-nucleotide ribosomal RNA is filed under the name uncultured bacterium. RNAcentral describes it as "bacterial SSU rRNA". It matches the Rfam family "Bacterial small subunit ribosomal RNA", at positions 141 to 844 of the family's 1533-position model. The record is from RNAcentral.